AGAUUAGAAGCCCAGGACCCAGGAAGGAGACACAGGAAAUUUAUUCAAAGUCCCCACGCUGCAGUUCCAAGAGCCUCUGAGUUCCUGCCUUUUUUCAUCUCUGAAUCCCCACCAUUGGCCUACAUUGGGAGUGGGGCGACCUUUUACAUCAUCCUCGGCCGGGUUUUCCUGCUCUCUGCAGUUUUCUUGGCUUUCGUCACCACCUUCAUCAUGAUGCCCUUUGCAUCCGAGUUCUUCCCGAGGACCUGGAAGCAAAACUUUGUGUUAGCCUGCAUCAGCUUCUUCACAGGGGCCUGUGCCUUCCUGGCUUUGGUGCUGCAUGCCCUGGAGAUCAAGGCUCUGAGGAUGACGCUCGGCCCCCUGCAGUUC
This 369-nucleotide long non-coding RNA is filed under the name Pan troglodytes (chimpanzee). RNAcentral's name for it is "long non-coding RNA NONPTRT015775". The record is from RNAcentral. Lineage: Eukaryota; Metazoa; Chordata; Mammalia; Primates; Hominidae.